This 450-nucleotide ribosomal RNA is filed under the name uncultured bacterium. RNAcentral's name for it is "partial 16S ribosomal RNA". It matches the Rfam family "Bacterial small subunit ribosomal RNA", at positions 354 to 796 of the family's 1533-position model. The record is from RNAcentral.
GUAGGGAAUCUUCGGCAAUGGACGAAAGUCUGACCGAGCAACGCCGCGUGAGUGAAGAAGGUUUUCGGAUCGUAAAACUCUGUUGGUAGAGAAGAACGUUGGUGAGAGUGGAAAGCUCAUCAAGUGACGGUAACUACCCAGAAAGGGACGGCUAACUACGUGCCAGCAGCCGCGGUAAUACGUAGGUCCCGAGCGUUGUCCGGAUUUAUUGGGCGUAAAGCGAGCGCAGGUGGUUUAUUAAGUCUGGUGUAAAAGGCAGUGGCUCAACCAUUGUAUGCAUUGGAAACUGGUAGACUUGAGUGCAGGAGAGGAGAGUGGAAUCCCAUGUGUAGCGGUGAAAUGCGUAGAUAUAUGGAGGAACACCGGUGGCGAAAGCGGCUCUCUGGCCUGUAACUGACACUGAGGCUCGAAAGCGUGGGGAGCAAACAGGAUUAGAAACCCGUGUAGUCC